GAGUAAUGUCUGGGAAACUGCCUGAUGGAGGGGGGAUAACUACUGGAAACGGUAGCUAAUACCGCAUAACGUCGAAAGACCAAAGAGGGGGACCUUCGGGCCUCUUGCCAUCGGAUGUGCCCAGAUGGGAUUAGCUUGUUGGUGGGGUAAUGGCUCACCAAGGCGACGAUCCCUAGCUGGUCUGAGAGGAUGACCAGCCACACUGGAACUGAGACACGGUCCAGACUCCUACGGGAGGCAGCAUG
RNAcentral lists this ribosomal RNA (245 nucleotides) under uncultured bacterium. RNAcentral describes it as "partial 16S ribosomal RNA". It matches the Rfam family "Bacterial small subunit ribosomal RNA", at positions 108 to 353 of the family's 1533-position model. The record is from RNAcentral.